CGUACAGGUUUCCGUAGGUGAACCUGCGGAAGGAUCAUUAAAGAGUAAGGGUGCUCAGCGCCCGACCUCCAACCCUUUGUUGUUAAAACUACCUUGUUGCUUUGGCGGGACCGCUCGGUUCCGAGCCGCUGGGGAUUCGUCCCAGGCGAGUGCCCGCCAGAGUUAAACCAAACUCUUGUUAUUAAACCGGUCGUCUGAGUUAAAAUUUUGAAUAAAUCAAAACUUUCAACAACGGAUCUCUUGGUUCUCGCAUCGAUGAAGAACGCAGCGAAAUGCGAUAAGUAAUGUGAAUUGCAGAAUUCAGUGAAUCAUCGAAUCUUUGAACGCACAUUGCGCCCCUUGGUAUUCCGAGGGGCAUGCCUGUUCGAGCGUCAUUACACCACUCAAGCUAUGCUUGGUAUUGGGCGUCGUCCUUAGUUGGGCGCGCCUUAAAGACCUCGGCGAGGCCUCACCGGCUUUAGGCGCAGUAGAAUUUAUUCAAUUAACGUCUGUCAAUGGAGAGGACUUCUGCCGACUGAAACCUUUAUUUUUUACAGGUUGACCUCGGAUCAGGUAGGGAUACCCGCUGAACUUAAGCAUAUCA
RNAcentral lists this ribosomal RNA (583 nucleotides) under uncultured fungus. RNAcentral's name for it is "eukaryotic LSU rRNA". The stretch from base 221 to 374 matches the Rfam family "5.8S ribosomal RNA". The record is from RNAcentral. Lineage: Eukaryota; Fungi.